RNAcentral lists this ribosomal RNA (468 nucleotides) under uncultured bacterium. RNAcentral's name for it is "partial 16S ribosomal RNA". It matches the Rfam family "Bacterial small subunit ribosomal RNA", at positions 28 to 507 of the family's 1533-position model. The record is from RNAcentral.
GACGAACGCUGGCGGCGUGCUUAACACAUGCAAGUCGAACGGACAGGCCCUGCUUUUGUUGGUUUCUCGAGUGCCGAAGGGGUGUGUAACACGUGUGUAACCUGCCCUUAUCUUUGUGAUAUCUUCACGAAACUGCGGCUCAUACCCGAUAUGAUCUCCUGCUGCAUGUUGGUGGAUGGAAAGUUUCGGCGGUUGGGGCUGGUCUGGCGGGUUCUCCGCUUGUUGGUGUGGUAGUGGCUUACCAAGGCUUUGACGGGUAGCCGGCCUGAGAGGGGGACCGGCCACAAUAGGACUGAGAGACGGACCAGAAGGCAACGGGAGGCAGCAGGGGAGAAUAUGGCACAAUGGGCGGAAGCCUGAGACAAAAACGCAGCGUGCGGGAUGACGGCCUACGGGUGGUAAACAGAUGUCGACUGUGACGAAGAGUGAGUGACGGUAAUGGGUAAAGAAGCACCGGCUAACUACGUG